AUGGACGCACAGUCUGGUGAAUACGACAAAGUGUUUGAUUACCAGAACGAGCUACUUAGAAGCAACCCCGGUAGCACUGUGAUUGUCAAGCUGCACCCUGACUUUCAAAAGCCAACAUUUUACAGAUUCUAUGUUUGUUUUGAAGCUUGUAGAAAAGGUUUUCUUGCUGGUUGUAGGAAAGUAAUUGGACUUGAUGGGUGCUUUUUCAAAGGAAGAGCCGGAGAGCUAUUGUGUGCUGUCGGUAGAGAUGCCAACAAUCAGAUUUAUCCUAUCGCUUGGGCAGCAGUUGAUAAAGAGACCAAGGAUUCUUGGAAUUGGUUUUGUUCUGUAUUGUUCAAUGAUCUGAAGCUAGGAGAUGGAGACGGUUGGGUAAUAAUAUCUGAUCAACAAAAGGUAUUUUCUACUUGA
This 408-nucleotide ribosomal RNA is filed under the name Triticum aestivum (bread wheat). RNAcentral describes it as "partial small subunit ribosomal RNA". Lineage: Eukaryota; Viridiplantae; Streptophyta; Magnoliopsida; Poales; Poaceae. The record is from RNAcentral.